RNAcentral lists this ribosomal RNA (677 nucleotides) under Bacillus sp. CH163b. Its description in RNAcentral is "bacterial SSU rRNA". It matches the Rfam family "Bacterial small subunit ribosomal RNA", at positions 57 to 717 of the family's 1533-position model. Lineage: Bacteria; Bacillati; Bacillota; Bacilli; Caryophanales; Bacillaceae. The record is from RNAcentral.
GCAAGUCGAGCGGACGGAUGGGAGCUUGCUCCCUGAAGUCAGCGGCGGACGGGUGAGUAACACGUGGGCAACCUGCCUGUAAGACUGGGAUAACUUCGGGAAACCGGAGCUAAUACCGGAUAAUGCACAGCCUCUCAUGAGGCUAUGCUGAAAGAUGGUUUCGGCUAUCACUUACAGAUGGGCCCGCGGCGCAUUAGCUAGUUGGUGAGGUAACGGCUCACCAAGGCAACGAUGCGUAGCCGACCUGAGAGGGUGAUCGGCCACACUGGGACUGAGACACGGCCCAGACUCCUACGGGAGGCAGCAGUAGGGAAUCUUCCGCAAUGGACGAAAGUCUGACGGAGCAACGCCGCGUGAGUGAUGAAGGUUUUCGGAUCGUAAAACUCUGUUGUCAGGGAAGAACAAGUGCCGGAGUAACUGCCGGCACCUUGACGGUACCUGACCAGAAAGCCACGGCUAACUACGUGCCAGCAGCCGCGGUAAUACGUAGGUGGCAAGCGUUGUCCGGAAUUAUUGGGCGUAAAGCGCGCGCAGGCGGUCUCUUAAGUCUGAUGUGAAAGCCCACGGCUCAACCGUGGAGGGUCAUUGGAAACUGGGGGACUUGAGUGCAGAAGAGGAAAGUGGAAUUCCACGUGUAGCGGUGAAAUGCGUAGAGAUGUGGAGGAACACCAGUGGCG